This 499-nucleotide ribosomal RNA is filed under the name uncultured bacterium. RNAcentral describes it as "bacterial SSU rRNA". It matches the Rfam family "Bacterial small subunit ribosomal RNA", at positions 8 to 502 of the family's 1533-position model. The record is from RNAcentral.
AGAGUUUGAUCCUGGCUCAGGAUGAACGCUAGCGACAGGCCUAACACAUGCAAGUCGAGGGGCAGCAUUUCUAGCUUGCUAGAAGAUGGCGACCGGCGCACGGGUGAGUAACGCGUAUGCAACCUACCUUAUACUGGGGGAUAGCCCAGAGAAAUCUGGAUUAAUACCGCAUAACAAUGUUUUAUCGCAUGGUAAGAUAUUUAAAACUCCGGUGGUAUAAGAUGGGCAUGCGUAGCAUUAGUUAGUUGGUGAGGUAACGGCUCACCAAGACAAUGAUGCUUAGGGGGUCUGAGAGGAUAGUCCCCCACACUGGUACUGAGACACGGACCAGACUCCUACGGGAGGCAGCAGUGAGGAAUAUUGGUCAAUGGGCGAAAGCCUGAACCAGCCAUGUCGCGUGCAGGAUGACGGCCCUAUGGGUUGUAAACUGCUUUUUUACAGGAAUAAUUGUCGCUACGUGUAGUGAUUUGAAUGUACUGUAUGAAUAAGAUCGCUAACU